GGGCCCGUAGUCUAGCGGUAGGAUAUCGGCCUUGCAAGCCGGGGAUCCCGGGUUCAAAUCCCGGCGGGUCCA
Molecule: transfer RNA, 72 nt
Filed under: Nanobdella aerobiophila
Lineage: Archaea; Nanobdellati; Nanobdellota; Nanobdellia; Nanobdellales; Nanobdellaceae
Description: tRNA-Ala
Rfam family: tRNA
About the family: Transfer RNA (tRNA) molecules are approximately 80 nucleotides in length. Their secondary structure includes four short double-helical elements and three loops (D, anti-codon, and T loops). Further hydrogen bonds mediate the characteristic L-shaped molecular structure. tRNAs have two regions of fundamental functional importance: the anti-codon, which is responsible for specific mRNA codon recognition, and the 3' end, to which the tRNAs corresponding amino acid is attached (by aminoacyl-tRNA synthetases). tRNAs cope with the degeneracy of the genetic code in two manners: having more than one tRNA (with a specific anti-codon) for a particular amino acid; and 'wobble' base-pairing, i.e. permitting non-standard base-pairing at the 3rd anti-codon position.
Source: RNAcentral